GCGGCGGACGGGUGAGUAACACGUGGAUAACCUACCUAUAAGACUGGGAUAACUUCGGGAAACCGGAGCUAAUACCGGAUAAGAUUUUGAACCGCAUGGUUCAAUAGUGAAAGACGGCCUUGCUGUCACUUAUAGAUGGAUCCGCGCCGUAUUAGCUAGUUGGUAAGGUAACGGCUUACCAAGGCAACGAUACGUAGCCGACCUGAGAGGGUGAUCGGCCACACUGGAACUGAGACACGGUCCAGACUCCUACGGGAGGCAGCAGUAGGGAAUCUUCCGCAAUGGGCGAAAGCCUGACGGAGCAACGCCGCGUGAGUGAUGAAGGUCUUCGGAUCGUAAAACUCUGUUAUCAGGGAAGAACAAACGUGUAAGUAACUGUGCACGUCUUGACGGUACCUGAUCAGAAAGCCACGGCUAACUACGUGCCAGCAGCCGCGGUAAUACGUAGGUGGCAAGCGUUAUCCGGAAUUAUUGGGCGUAAAGCGCGCGUAGGCGGUUUUUUAAGUCUGAUGUGAAAGCCCACGGCUCAACCGUGGAGGGUCAUUGGAAACUGGAAAACUUGAGUGCAGAAGAGGAAAGUGGAAUUCCAUGUGUAGCGGUGAAAUGCGCAGAGAUAUGGAGGAACACCAGUGGCGAAGCGACUUUCUGGUCUGUAACUGACGCUGAUG
RNAcentral lists this ribosomal RNA (668 nucleotides) under Staphylococcus pasteuri. RNAcentral describes it as "bacterial SSU rRNA". It matches the Rfam family "Bacterial small subunit ribosomal RNA", at positions 95 to 751 of the family's 1533-position model. Lineage: Bacteria; Bacillati; Bacillota; Bacilli; Caryophanales; Staphylococcaceae. The record is from RNAcentral.